Molecule: transfer RNA, 74 nt
Filed under: Balaenoptera acutorostrata scammoni
Lineage: Eukaryota; Metazoa; Chordata; Mammalia; Artiodactyla; Balaenopteridae
Description: tRNA-Trp (CCA) (tRNA-Trp-CCA-34-1)
Rfam family: tRNA
About the family: Transfer RNA (tRNA) molecules are approximately 80 nucleotides in length. Their secondary structure includes four short double-helical elements and three loops (D, anti-codon, and T loops).
Source: RNAcentral
UCCCCUGGUGGUCCAGUGGCUAAGACUCCGCACUCCAAAUGCAGCGGGCCCAGGUUCAAUCCCUGGUCAGGGAA